GGCCCAUUAGCUCAGUUGGUUAGAGCGUCGUGCUAAUAACGCGAAGGUCGUGAGUUCGAUCCUCACAUGGGCCA
Molecule: non-coding RNA, 74 nt
Organism: Bombyx mori (domestic silkworm)
Lineage: Eukaryota; Metazoa; Arthropoda; Insecta; Lepidoptera; Bombycidae
Source: Rfam